Molecule: long non-coding RNA, 455 nt
Filed under: Monodelphis domestica (gray short-tailed opossum)
Lineage: Eukaryota; Metazoa; Chordata; Mammalia; Didelphimorphia; Didelphidae
Description: lncRNA (ENSMODG00000031930.2)
Source: RNAcentral
UAGCCAUGUUCUCCACAAUUUUCCUUUGUGUCCUUGUAGCUGCCAGAUGGGGCUGAAACAAAUAACACUCAUAUUGCUUUGUGGCUAUAUCUGUUUCAGAUACAGAGGGUGCUAAUAAUCUACAAUUCAUUUUGCUCCCUUCAUUCUCCACCAAUUGCUCUCAGCCCAAGGUCUGAGACUUAAGAAGAAGGAAGAAGAAAAUAACAGGAUCCCUUUGCUAACAAGGCUUCAGUGUGUGUACUGUUUUUAUUCUAUACAUGCUUUGUAAUAAAUUUUCUCUACAUUGAAGCAGCUAUGAUAGAAUGAAAUGGUGAGUUGGACCUGGAAUGAAGAAGACCUGAGUUCAAAUCCAACCUCAGAUACUUACCAGCUAUAAAAUCCUGGGCAAGUCACUUAAUCUAUGUUUGCCUCAGUUUCCUCAUCUGUAAAGUAGGGAUAUUAAUAGUACCUACCAU